GCCGCCAGUUAUUGGGGACGUUUCGAAGGACGCUAAUACCGCAUACGUCCUACGGGAGAAAGCAGGGGACCUUCGGCGCUUGGGCUAUCAGAUGAGCCUAGGUCGGAUUAGCUAGUAGGUGAGUGUAAUGGCUCACCUAGGCGACGAUCCGUAACUGGUCUGAGAGGAUGAUCAGUCACACUGGAACUGAGACACGGUCCAGACUCCUACGGGAGGCAGCAGUGGGGAAUAUUGGACAAUGGGCGAAAGCCUGAUCCAGCCAUGCCGCGUGUGUGAAGAAGGUCUUCGGAUUGUAAAGCACUUUAAGUUGGGAGGAAGGGCAGUAAGUUAAUACCUUGCUGUUUUGACGUUACCAACAGAAUAAGCACCGGCUAACUUCGUGCCAGCAGCCGCGGUAAUACGAAGGGUGCAAGCGUUAAUCGGAAUUACUGGGCGUAAAGCGCGCGCAGGUGGUUCAGCAAGUUGGAGGUGAAAUCCCCGGGCUCAACCUGGGAACUGCCUCCAAAACUAUUGAGCUAGAGUACGGUAGAGGGUAGUGGAAUUUCCUGUGUAGCGGUGAAAUGCGUAGAUAUAGGAAGGAACACCAGUGA
This 590-nucleotide ribosomal RNA is filed under the name uncultured Pseudomonas sp. Its description in RNAcentral is "bacterial SSU rRNA". It matches the Rfam family "Bacterial small subunit ribosomal RNA", at positions 125 to 715 of the family's 1533-position model. The record is from RNAcentral. Lineage: Bacteria; Pseudomonadati; Pseudomonadota; Gammaproteobacteria; Pseudomonadales; Pseudomonadaceae.